Molecule: ribosomal RNA, 492 nt
Filed under: uncultured bacterium
Lineage: Bacteria
Description: partial 16S ribosomal RNA
Rfam family: Bacterial small subunit ribosomal RNA
Source: RNAcentral
AGUGAACGCUGGCGGUAGGCCUAACACAUGCAAGUCGAACGGCAGCACAGUAAGAGCUUGCUCUUACGGGUGGCGAGUGGCGGACGGGUGAGGAAUACAUCGGAAUCUACUUUUUCGUGGGGGAUAACGUAGGGAAACUUACGCUAAUACCGCAUACGACCUACGGGUGAAAGCAGGGGAUCUUCGGACCUUGCGCGAUUGAAUGAGCCGAUGUCGGAUUAGCUAGUUGGCGGGGUAAAGGCCCACCUAGGCGACGAUCCGUAGCUGGUCUGAGAGGAUGAUCGGCCACACUGGAACUGAGACACGGUCCAGACUCCUACGGGAGGCAGCAGUGGGGAAUAUUGGACAAUGGGCGCAAGCCUGAUCCAGCCAUACCGCGUGGGUGAAGAAGGCCUUCGGGUUGUAAAGCCCUUUUGUUGGGAAAGAAAAGCAGCAGGUUAAUACCCCGCUGUUCUGACGGUACCCAAAGAAUAAGCACCGGCUAACUUCGUG